UUCCGGUUGAUCCUGCCGGACCCGACUGCUAUUUGGGUGAGAAUAAGCCAUGCGAGUCGAAUGGGAUACCUAAAAUUCCCAUGGCAAACUGCUCAGUAACACAUGAUCAACUUACCCUAUAGAGAAAAAUAACCUCGGGAAACUGAGGAUAAUAUUUCAUAGUUGAAUCGGCUUGGAAAAGUUUUUCAAUAAAAGGGAUAAGAAAAAUGGUUCUUAUCUGCUAUAGGAUAGGAUCGUGGACGAUUAUGGUUGUUGGUGAGAUAACGGCUCACCAAGCCGAUAAUCGAUAGGGGCCGUGAGAGCGGGAGCCCCGAGAUGGGUACUGAGACAACGACCCAGGCCUUACGAGGCGCAGCAGGCGCGGAACCUCCGCAAUACACGGAAGUGUGACGGGGUUACCCAAAGUGUUCAAUUCUGAACUGUGGUAGGUGAGUAAUGUUCCCUAUUAGAAAGGAGAGGGCAAGGCUGGUGCCAGCCGCCGCGGUAAAACCAGCUCUUCAAGUGGUCGGGAUAAUUAUUGGGCUUAAAGUGUCCGUAGCCGGUUUAGUAAGUUCCUGGUAAAAUCGGGUAGCUUAACUAUCCGUAUGCUAGGAAUACUGCUAUACUAGAGGGCGGGAGAGGUCUGAGGUACUACAGGGGUAGGGGUGAAAUCUUAUAAUCCUUGUAGGACCACCAGUGGCGAAGGCGUCAGACUGGAACGCGCCUGACGGUGAGGGACGAAAGCCAGGGGAGCGAACCGGAUUAGAUACCCGGGUAGUCCUGGCCGUAAACGAUGCAUACUACGUGAUGGUACGGCCAUGAGCCGUAUCAGUGCCGUAGGGAAACCGUUAAGUGUGCCGCCUGGGAAGUACGGUCGCAAGGCUAAAACUUAAAGGAAUUGGCGGGGG
This 887-nucleotide ribosomal RNA is filed under the name uncultured archaeon. RNAcentral's name for it is "bacterial SSU rRNA". It matches the Rfam family "Archaeal small subunit ribosomal RNA", at positions 1 to 874 of the family's 1478-position model. The record is from RNAcentral.